Molecule: ribosomal RNA, 1407 nt
Filed under: Arthrobacter sp. 8K1
Lineage: Bacteria; Bacillati; Actinomycetota; Actinomycetes; Micrococcales; Micrococcaceae
Description: bacterial SSU rRNA
Rfam family: Bacterial small subunit ribosomal RNA
Source: RNAcentral
UAACACAUGCAAGUCGAACGAUGAAGCCCAGCUUGCUGGGUGGAUUAGUGGCGAACGGGUGAGUAACACGUGAGUAACCUGCCCCCGACUCUGGGAUAAGCCCGGGAAACUGGGUCUAAUACCGGAUAUUACCUUUGACCGCAUGGUUGUUGGUGGAAAGAUUUAUCGGUGGGGGAUGGACUCGCGGCCUAUCAGCUUGUUGGUGAGGUAAUGGCUCACCAAGGCGACGACGGGUAGCCGGCCUGAGAGGGUGACCGGCCACACUGGGACUGAGACACGGCCCAGACUCCUACGGGAGGCAGCAGUGGGGAAUAUUGCACAAUGGGCGAAAGCCUGAUGCAGCGACGCCGCGUGAGGGAUGACGGCCUUCGGGUUGUAAACCUCUUUCAGUAGGGAAGAAGCGAAAGUGACGGUACCUGCAGAAGAAGCGCCGGCUAACUACGUGCCAGCAGCCGCGGUAAUACGUAGGGCGCAAGCGUUAUCCGGAUUUAUUGGGCGUAAAGAGCUCGUAGGCGGUUUGUCGCGUCUGCCGUGAAAGUCCGAGGCUCAACCUCGGAUCUGCGGUGGGUACGGGCAGACUAGAGUGAUGUAGGGGAGACUGGAAUUCCUGGUGUAGCGGUGAAAUGCGCAGAUAUCAGGAGGAACACCGAUGGCGAAGGCAGGUCUCUGGGCAUUUACUGACGCUGAGGAGCGAAAGCAUGGGGAGCGAACAGGAUUAGAUACCCUGGUAGUCCAUGCCGUAAACGUUGGGCACUAGGUGUGGGGGACAUUCCACGUUUUCCGCGCCGUAGCUAACGCAUUAAGUGCCCCGCCUGGGGAGUACGGCCGCAAGGCUAAAACUCAAAGGAAUUGACGGGGGCCCGCACAAGCGGCGGAGCAUGCGGAUUAAUUCGAUGCAACGCGAAGAACCUUACCAAGGCUUGACAUGUGCCAGACCGCCUCAGAGAUGGGGUUUCCCUUCGGGGCUGGUUCACAGGUGGUGCAUGGUUGUCGUCAGCUCGUGUCGUGAGAUGUUGGGUUAAGUCCCGCAACGAGCGCAACCCUCGUUCCAUGUUGCCAGCACGUAAAGGUGGGGACUCAUGGGAGACUGCCGGGGUCAACUCGGAGGAAGGUGGGGAUGACGUCAAAUCAUCAUGCCCCUUAUGUCUUGGGCUUCACGCAUGCUACAAUGGCCGGUACAAUGGGUUGCGAUACUGUGAGGUGGAGCUAAUCCCUAAAAGCCGGUCUCAGUUCGGAUUGGGGUCUGCAACUCGACCCCAUGAAGUCGGAGUCGCUAGUAAUCGCAGAUCAGCAACGCUGCGGUGAAUACGUUCCCGGGCCUUGUACACACCGCCCGUCAAGUCACGAAAGUUGGUAACACCCGAAGCCGAUGGCCUAACCACCUUGUGUGGGGGGAGUCGUCGAAGG